ACUAAAAUAAGACUGGUGAGGAUGGAAAUCUUUCUUUUUGCCUUGAGAUUGAUAUGUCUGUUGACUUGGCAAAGUAUUAAGUAAGGCAGGGGGAGGCACCGCUGCCUUUUGUUUUGCCCAGUAGCCCAAACCCAGUAUGUUUUACCCAUUGGCCAUCCCAAUUUCUACUUAUCAAUCAUAAAAAAUUCAUAGAAAAUAUCUUUUAUUUCCCAUUAAGGAGGAAUGACUACGAAAGGAACUUGACAACCCCAUCGCACAGCGGUCUUGCAUGUUGCAAACCUUUAAAUUACAAUCUUCACCAUGUUCAUUGGAAUUUUGAUAGGCGUUUAGGCAUGUCUAGACGUCUUUUUUAUUUUUUAAAUAUCUAGUGAUUAAUCGUGACAGUGGUCUGUCGCUUAGCGCCUAAAUAGGCCCUAAGCCGUCUUAGGCUGGGCUUUUUAGAACAAUGAUAAAAGGACAAAAAAAAUAGAUAUAUCAAAGUCAAGAAAUACUUUGACUGCCACUUAGUACUAUGGUCUAAUGGUGUUCUUCUACACUUGUAAGUUAGAGGUCUUCAGUUCAAUUCAAAGUCAAGAAAUACUUUGACUGCCACUUAGUACUACGGUCUAGUAGUGUUCUUCUACACUUGUAAGUUAGAGGUCUUCAGUUCAAUUCUCGCUAAAAGCAAAUUUCAAUCAUAUUAUUGCUAGCCUAUUAUAAGAUUUAGCCCACUCCCUCAUCUCUUAGUGUAGAUAAUAUCAUUUGUUUACGGGGAAAAAAAAGGAAAACUAAUGAAAAUGACUUGAAAACUUUGAGUUUAACGAUAAGGACAAAAUAAAGGGUAAAGUGAAUAGUACCAUAUUUGACUUUUUAGUAUAAAAAUGUGAUUUUUCGUUAAAGUGAACAAUACCGCGGGCUUUUCGUUAAACUCCAAUAAAAAAAAAGACUUUGAUUAGUUGAGAGUCGGCAUUAUUGGUUCUCUAUUAUCUACAAGCAACUCAUUUGACAAAUUCUUUCUUAGGGUCCCGUCAUUUCCCGAACAUUAUAAAAAACUGACAUCCUGCAUUGGCACACAAUGAUUCAGUGGGAGCUUCGAUUAGUUCUAAAGGUGGGGUAGAAGCAAAGAGCGCGGAGCUAGAAUUUUUUUUACAAAUGAGCUAGCUAAAAAUAUUUCACUAAAAUUAAAUGAUAUUGUUUGCUACAUGUGUAUUGUAUACAAAAAUUUAAGUUUAACUUUUAUAUUUAUAUACUUUAAAAUUUGUUUGGGAUAAAUUCAAUAAACUUCGCAAUUGCAAACUGCAAAAACUACAAUAAAUCAUUUAGUUUCACUAUAUUUAGAUGCAAACAAAACAAGAAAUAGAAAACUUGUUAUAUGGACUAUCUCAAUAACAAGCAAACAACCAACACAAAACAAAACAAUGAAAGUAGAAAAUAAAGGCAAUCUUAAAAAUAAAAUUGAUUGAAAAUAAUACAAAGUCCACUAAAUCAAAGUAGAAGAAUCUUGAACAAAAUAACAUAACAAUUUUCAUGGUAACUUUUAUAUUUUUAGUUGUGACAGCCCGUUCUGAAAUAUAUAUAUUUUUUUUUCCGAUGGUGUGAAUUGACUAGAAUACCUUUGGAUGUUGAGUAUAUCGUGUAGUGUUGUGGUUUGAGUUUGGGUGUUAGACUAAUCUAAUUAGUUCCUAAGUUUUUAGAACUUAAAAAUUAUGGUUUUGUGGUUGUUAGUAGCCCAAAACUGGACCACACACUCACACUCACACACACCA
RNAcentral lists this long non-coding RNA (1745 nucleotides) under Malus domestica (apple). RNAcentral's name for it is "long non-coding RNA (MDOM_LNC017976)". Lineage: Eukaryota; Viridiplantae; Streptophyta; Magnoliopsida; Rosales; Rosaceae. The record is from RNAcentral.